Molecule: ribosomal RNA, 608 nt
Filed under: Escherichia coli
Lineage: Bacteria; Pseudomonadati; Pseudomonadota; Gammaproteobacteria; Enterobacterales; Enterobacteriaceae
Description: partial 23S ribosomal RNA
Rfam family: Bacterial large subunit ribosomal RNA
Source: RNAcentral
CCGUACACAAAAAUGCACAUGCUGUGAGCUCGAUGAGUAGGGCGGGACACGUGGUAUCCUGUCUGAAUAUGGGGGGACCAUCCUCCAAGGCUAAAUACUCCUGACUGACCGAUAGUGAACCAGUACCGUGAGGGAAAGGCGAAAAGAACCCCGGCGAGGGGAGUGAAAAAGAACCUGAAACCGUGUACGUACAAGCAGUGGGAGCACGCUUAGGCGUGUGACUGCGUACCUUUUGUAUAAUGGGUCAGCGACUUAUAUUCUGUAGCAAGGUUAACCGAAUAGGGGAGCCGAAGGGAAACCGAGUCUUAACUGGGCGUUAAGUUGCAGGGUAUAGACCCGAAACCCGGUGAUCUAGCCAUGGGCAGGUUGAAGGUUGGGUAACACUAACUGGAGGACCGAACCGACUAAUGUUGAAAAAUUAGCGGAUGACUUGUGGCUGGGGGUGAAAGGCCAAUCAAACCGGGAGAUAGCUGGUUCUCCCCGAAAGCUAUUUAGGUAGCGCCUCGUGAAUUCAUCUCCGGGGGUAGAGCACUGUUUCGGCAAGGGGGUCAUCCCGACUUACCAACCCGAUGCAAACUGCGAAUACCGGAGAAUGUUAUCACGGGAGA